This 464-nucleotide ribosomal RNA is filed under the name Vreelandella stevensii. RNAcentral's name for it is "partial 16S ribosomal RNA". It matches the Rfam family "Bacterial small subunit ribosomal RNA", at positions 338 to 795 of the family's 1533-position model. Lineage: Bacteria; Pseudomonadati; Pseudomonadota; Gammaproteobacteria; Oceanospirillales; Halomonadaceae. The record is from RNAcentral.
CCUACGGGGAGCAGCAGUGGGGAAUAUUGGACAAUGGGCGAAAGCCUGAUCCAGCCAUGCCGCGUGUGUGAAGAAGGCCUUCGGGUUGUAAAGCACUUUCAGUGGGGAAGAAAGCCUUGGGGCUAAUACCCUCGAGGAAGGACAUCACCCACAGAAGAAGCACCGGCUAACUCCGUGCCAGCAGCCGCGGUAAUACGGAGGGUGCGAGCGUUAAUCGGAAUUACUGGGCGUAAAGCGCGCGUAGGCGGUCUGAUAAGCCGGUUGUGAAAGCCCCGGGCUCAACCUGGGAACGGCAUCCGGAACUGUCAGGCUAGAGUGCAGGAGAGGAAGGUAGAAUUCCCGGUGUAGCGGUGAAAUGCGUAGAGAUCGGGAGGAAUACCAGUGGCGAAGGCGGCCUUCUGGACUGACACUGACGCUGAGGUGCGAAAGCGUGGGUAGCAAACAGGAUUAGAUACCCCGGUGUC